CCCGUAACCAUUUGCCAAUUUGUAUAUCGAGAAUUAGAAUGUUGCAGAGCGGAAUCAACUGAAUUAUCUUAAGAAAUCAAAGUUAUAUUCCGCUUUUCUUUCCUCGUUUUGUCUGUACCGUUCUUGUUCUUGUGCAAUCUUCUUCAACAGACAACGUAUGACUUUGUUUGUAGGUUUAAUAUCUCUUUUUCUCUCUUCUAUUUUCGUACUAUUCAUUGUUGGUCUUUAUUGAACGUAUUUACAAAUAUCUACGUCAACAAGCAGUGUCUCAAGUCAACUAAAACAUGCACAUUCUAAGACCAAGUUCUUAGACUUGACCCGCUUCGAAUUUCCGUCAGAAAUAUGCGAGAGAUCUUAUAAUAUAUGCAAACAACUCCCGCCAGAGUGAAACUUCUUG
This is a non-coding RNA of Paramuricea clavata, 397 nucleotides long. The record is from the annotation of a GenBank genome assembly. Lineage: Eukaryota; Metazoa; Cnidaria; Anthozoa; Malacalcyonacea; Plexauridae.